GAUGAACGCUGGCGGCGUGCCUAAUACAUGCAAGUCGAGCGAACAGACGAGGAGCUUGCUCCUCUGACGUUAGCGGCGGACGGGUGAGUAACACGUGGAUAACCUACCUAUAAGACUGGGAUAACUUCGGGAAACCGGAGCUAAUACCGGAUAAUAUAUUGAACCGCAUGGUUCAAUAGUGAAAGACGGUUUUGCUGUCACUUAUAGAUGGAUCCGCGCCGCAUUAGCUAGUUGGUAAGGUAACGGCUUACCGGGGCAACGAUGCGUAGCCGACCUGAGAGGGGGAUCGGCCACACUGGAACUGAGACACGGUCCAGACGCCUACGGGAGGCAGCAGUAGGGAAUCUUCCGCAAUGGGCGAAAGCUUGACGGAGCAACGCGGCGUGAGUGAUGAAGGUCUUCGGAUCGUAAAACUCUGUUAUUAGUGAAGAACAAAUGUGUAAGUAACUAUGCACGGCUUGACGGUACCUAAUCAGAAAGCCACGGCUAACUACGUG
This 497-nucleotide ribosomal RNA is filed under the name uncultured bacterium. RNAcentral's name for it is "partial 16S ribosomal RNA". It matches the Rfam family "Bacterial small subunit ribosomal RNA", at positions 28 to 507 of the family's 1533-position model. The record is from RNAcentral.